GCAUACGAUCUAAUUCUCGGCAUCGAGGAUAGAUGAAAGGUGGCCUCUACAUGUAAGCUAUCACUGAAGGAGGGGAUUGCGUCUGAUUAGCUAGUUGGAGGGGUAACGGCCCACCAAGGCGAUGAUCAGUAGCCGGUCUGAGAGGAUGAACGGCCACAUUGGGACUGAGACACGGCCCAGACUUCUACGGGAGGCAGCAGUGGGGAAUCUUCCGCAAUGGACGAAAGUCUGACGGAGCAACGCCGCGUGAGUGAUGACGGCUUCGGGUUGUAAAGCUCUGUUAAUCGGGACGAAAGGCCUUCUUGCGAAUAGUGAGAAGGA
Molecule: ribosomal RNA, 321 nt
Filed under: Veillonella parvula
Lineage: Bacteria; Bacillati; Bacillota; Negativicutes; Veillonellales; Veillonellaceae
Description: bacterial SSU rRNA
Rfam family: Bacterial small subunit ribosomal RNA
Source: RNAcentral